This 497-nucleotide ribosomal RNA is filed under the name uncultured bacterium. Its description in RNAcentral is "partial 16S ribosomal RNA". It matches the Rfam family "Bacterial small subunit ribosomal RNA", at positions 28 to 507 of the family's 1533-position model. The record is from RNAcentral.
GAUGAACGCUGGCGGCGUGCCUAAUACAUGCAAGUCGAGCGAACGGACGAGAAGCUUGCUUUUCUGAUGUUAGCGGCGGACGGGUGAGUAACACGUGGAUAACCUACCUAUAAGACUGGGAUAACUUCGGGAAACCGGAGCUAAUACCGGAUAAUAUUUUGAACCGCAUGGUUCAAAAGUGAAAGACGGUCUUGCUGUCACUUAUAGAUGGAUCCGCGCUGCAUUAGCUAGUUGGUAAGGUAACGGCUUACCAAGGCAACGAUGCAUAGCCGACCUGAGAGGGUGAUCGGCCACACUGGAACUGAGACACGGUCCAGACUCCUACGGGAGGCAGCAGAAGGGUAUCGUCCGCAAUGGGCGAAAGCCUGACGGAGCAACGCCGCGUGAGUGAUGAAGGUCUUCGGAUCGUAAAACUCUGUUAUUAGGGAAGAACAUAUGUGUAAGUAACUGUGCACAUCUUGACGGUACCUAAUCAGAAAGCCCCGGCUAACUACGUG